CUGUCAACUUGAAGGCGACUCUACAAACGUACUCACAAGCAGAGCAUUGUAUUGACAUGCCUGAAUCUAUUGUUACCAAUUUCGAAAAACAUAUGACUAGCAAAGCAACAACAACCAAAAAUCGAGUCAUGGUUCUAAACAACGGUACCUAAUAUAAAUAAAUUAAAGUAUGUUGCACAUAUGUUUAGCAACCAGAAAUCGAGUCAUGGUCAAACAACCGAACAAAUCAAAGUAUGCUUUAAGCAACAACAACCAAAAGUCUAGUCAUGGAUCCAAACAACCGUACCUAAAGAAAUAAGUCCAAACAACAAUAGGAGAUUCAAAUGUUCCCUUGACGCUUAGACCCAUUCCCUUGACGCUUCUUCAUAUACAGGGAGACUACAAUUCCUCCAACUAGUCCCGCUCCAAACAAGAGAAGUCUCCUCGUCAACUUUGAUGUCCACGGUUCCUGCACCCAGAAAAAAACAUUAGUUAACUGAUUUUAGUGAGUACUUA
This 495-nucleotide long non-coding RNA is filed under the name Capsicum annuum. Its description in RNAcentral is "long non-coding RNA (CANN_LNC022487)". The record is from RNAcentral. Lineage: Eukaryota; Viridiplantae; Streptophyta; Magnoliopsida; Solanales; Solanaceae.